AAGUCGUAACAAGGUUUCCGUAGGUGAACCUGCGGAAGGAUCAUUACCGAGUGCGGGCCCGCUCCGGGCCCAACCUCCCACCCGUGUCUCUUGCGUACUUUGUUGCUUUGGCGGGCCCACCGGGUCACUCCGGUCGCCGGGGGGCGCUAUGCUCCCGGGCCCGUGCCCGCCAGAGCACCCCUGUGAACCCUGAUGAAGAGAGGCUGUCUGAGUCCCACGAUAAUCGUUAAAACUUUCAACAAUGGAUCUCUUGGUUCUG
Molecule: unclassified non-coding RNA, 259 nt
Filed under: Talaromyces trachyspermus
Lineage: Eukaryota; Fungi; Ascomycota; Eurotiomycetes; Eurotiales; Trichocomaceae
Description: partial internal transcribed spacer region
Rfam family: Eukaryotic small subunit ribosomal RNA (bases 1-46)
Source: RNAcentral